UACGGAGGGAGCUAGCGUUGUUCGGAAUUACUGGGCGUAAAGCGCACGUAGGCGGCUUUGUAAGUUAGAGGUGAAAGCCCGGGGCCCAACUCCGGAACUGCCUUUAAGACUGCAUCGCUUGAAUCCAGGAGAGGUGAGUGGAAUUCCGAGUGUAGAGGUGAAAUUCGUAGAUAUUCGGAAGAACACCAGUGGCGAAGGCGGCUCACUGGACUGGUAUUGACGCUGAGGUGCGAAAGCGUGGGGAGCAAACAGG
RNAcentral lists this ribosomal RNA (253 nucleotides) under uncultured bacterium. Its description in RNAcentral is "partial 16S ribosomal RNA". It matches the Rfam family "Bacterial small subunit ribosomal RNA", at positions 524 to 776 of the family's 1533-position model. The record is from RNAcentral.